Molecule: ribosomal RNA, 590 nt
Filed under: Bacillus sp. CH138_4T
Lineage: Bacteria; Bacillati; Bacillota; Bacilli; Caryophanales; Bacillaceae
Also listed under: 1 other name
Description: bacterial SSU rRNA
Rfam family: Bacterial small subunit ribosomal RNA
Source: RNAcentral
AGUCGAGCGGACUGAUGGGAGCUUGCUCCCUGAAGUCAGCGGCGGACGGGUGAGUAACACGUGGGUAACCUGCCUGUAAGACUGGGAUAACUCCGGGAAACCGGGGCUAAUACCGGAUAGUUCUUUUCCUCGCAUGAGGAAAAGUGGAAAGGCGGCUUCGGCUGCCACUUACAGAUGGACCCGCGGCGCAUUAGCUAGUUGGUGAGGUAACGGCUCACCAAGGCAACGAUGCGUAGCCGACCUGAGAGGGUGAUCGGCCACACUGGGACUGAGACACGGCCCAGACUCCUACGGGAGGCAGCAGUAGGGAAUCUUCCGCAAUGGACGAAAGUCUGACGGAGCAACGCCGCGUGAGUGAUGAAGGUUUUCGGAUCGUAAAGCUCUGUUGUUAGGGAAGAACAAGUGCCGUUCGAAUAGGGCGGCACCUUGACGGUACCUAACCAGAAAGCCACGGCUAACUACGUGCCAGCAGCCGCGGUAAUACGUAGGUGGCAAGCGUUGUCCGGAAUUAUUGGGCGUAAAGCGCGCGCAGGCGGUCUCUUAAGUCUGAUGUGAAAGCCCACGGCUCAACCGUGGAGGGUCAUUGGAAA